AUACGUAGGGGGCAAGCGUUAUCCGGAAUCACUGGGUGUAAAGGGUGCGUAGGCGGCAAGGCAAGUCAGAUGUGAAAGCCCGGAGCUCAACUCCGGGACUGCAUUUGAAACUGCUUUGCUAGAGUGCAGGAGAGGAAAGCGGUAUUCCUAGUGUAGCGGUGAAAUGCGUAGAUAUUAGGAGGAACACCAGUGGCGAAGGCGGCUUUCUGGACUGUAACUGACGCUGAGGCACGAAAGCGUGGGGAGCGAACAGGAUUAGAUACCCUGGUAGUCCACGCUGUAAACGAUGAGUGCUAGGUGUCGGCCUGUAGAGGGUCGGUGCCGAAGUUAACACAUUAAGCACUCCACCUGGGGAGUACGAUCGCAAGAUUGAA
Molecule: ribosomal RNA, 374 nt
Filed under: uncultured bacterium
Lineage: Bacteria
Description: bacterial SSU rRNA
Rfam family: Bacterial small subunit ribosomal RNA
Source: RNAcentral